This 329-nucleotide unclassified non-coding RNA is filed under the name soil metagenome. RNAcentral describes it as "partial contains 5.8S ribosomal RNA, internal transcribed spacer 2, and large subunit ribosomal RNA". The stretch from base 1 to 120 matches the Rfam family "5.8S ribosomal RNA", at positions 35 to 154 of the family's 154-position model. The record is from RNAcentral.
GAUGAAGAACGCAGCGAAAUGCGAUAAGUAGUGUGAAUUGCAGAAUUCAGUGAAUCAUCGAAUCUUUGAACGCACAUUGCGCCCCUUGGUAUCCCGAGGGGCAUGCCUGUUCGAGCGUCAUUUCACCACUCAAGCCUGGCUUGGUGGUGGGCGACGUCCUCUUUGGGGACGCGCCUCGAAACGCUCGGCGGCGUGGCACCGGCUUUAAGCGUAGCAGAAUCUUUCGCUUUGGAAGUCGGGGCCCCGUCUGCCGGAAGACCUGCUCGCAAGGUUGACCUCGGAUCAGGCAGGGAUACCCGCUGAACUUAAGCAUAUCAAUAAGCGGAGGA